This 253-nucleotide ribosomal RNA is filed under the name uncultured bacterium. RNAcentral's name for it is "partial 16S ribosomal RNA". It matches the Rfam family "Bacterial small subunit ribosomal RNA", at positions 524 to 776 of the family's 1533-position model. The record is from RNAcentral.
UACGGAGGGUGCAAGCGUUGUUCGGAAUGACUGGGCGUAAAGCGCACGUAGGCGGGUCCGUAAGUCGGAUGUGAAAUCCCCAGGCUUAACCUGGGAACUGCACCCGAAACUAUGGAUCUUGAAUGCUUGAGAGGUUGGUGGAACUCCGAGUGUAGAGGUGAAAUUCGUAGAUAUUCGGAAGAACACCAGUGGCGAAGGCGGCUCACUGGCCCGAUACUGACGCUGAGGCACGAAAGCGUGGGGAGCAAACAGG